CAGCAGCCGCGGGAAUACGAAGGGUGCAAGCGUUAAUCGGAAUUACUGGGCGUAAAGCGUGCGUAGGCGGUGAGUUAAGUCUGCUGUGAAAUCCCCGGGCUCAACCUGGGAAUGGCAGUGGAUACUGGCUCGCUAGAGUGUGUCAGAGGAUGGUGGAAUUCCCGGUGUAGCGGUGAAAUGCGUAGAGAUCGGGAGGAACAUCAGUGGCGAAGGCGGCCAUCUGGGACAACACUGACGCUGAGGCACGAAAGCGUGGGGAGCAAACAGGAUUAGAUACCCCAGUAGUCCCUGUCUCUUAUAA
Molecule: ribosomal RNA, 301 nt
Filed under: uncultured bacterium
Lineage: Bacteria
Description: partial 16S ribosomal RNA
Rfam family: Bacterial small subunit ribosomal RNA
Source: RNAcentral